Molecule: long non-coding RNA, 1081 nt
Organism: Thunnus maccoyii (southern bluefin tuna)
Lineage: Eukaryota; Metazoa; Chordata; Actinopteri; Scombriformes; Scombridae
Exons: 3
Source: RefSeq, a predicted model, not a curated record
GCGUCACACCGCGACAAGUGUCAGAUGUCAGUUUGUAGCUUCAUGUCACCUCCACUGGCUUCCAUUGAAAAUGACCUGUAGCCUGCUGCUUUGUCGCUGGUAGUCUGAACACACAGUCUAUCACUUUAAUCAACCCAAAUCUCAUGCACUGAUCCCUGAACGGUUAACAGGCCUUUUGAGCAGCUGGGGAGGCUGACCUGUUGUCCCCUGGCACAACAUGUAGGAACAGGAUGACGGCGAUGGCAGAGAUGUAACACCACAUCAAGAGGGAACGAAUGAGCUGGGGCGCAAGCACUACACUCUGUCCUGCAGUUCAGGCAUCCUCCAUGGCCUGAUGGACCCACAGAGAGAUGAAAAGCGAGGAUUGGAGGGCCAGUGGCAGAGAACCCGGCCAAGGGAGGAUGAAAGAGACUGGUGCUGUUGGACAUUUUUAGUAUCCCACUCCUGUUUUAUGUGUACUUUUAAGACUCCCUCUGCUUCUGAGGACUUUUAGUAAUUAGUGGGCAAUAUCUUAUUUAUCUUUUUUUUUUAAUUACUCUUACUUUUUUGUGUGCAUGAAUGAUGUAAGGUAUGUAAGUAAGUAUGUUUGAGAGAUAAAUGUUUUGUGAUGCAGCAAUACUGAGCCCAAGAAAGAUUUCCCUAAGGAUAUCUUAUCUUACCUCAGUAUUCAUACCCCUAGAUUUGAUUUAGUUUAAUUAUUUUCAGCUAGCUUUUAUUCUUUUAUAUAAUGUUAUCGAAUCUGGCCUAUUUGACAACAUUUUGCAAUAUUUUGUACUGAAUAUUCAACAUUGACUGUGUUGUCCUUGAGUUCCAAGCUGCUCUUUCCUCGAUUUUAAUAGAACCUUUGUGCUAGCUUCCUGGACUUCAAAAAGUCUGGGUGUGUGGUGGUUUUUAUUUAUUCUUAUUUUACAUUUAUCUAUUUUAUUAUUUUAAUUUGUGUCAUUAAGUACACCCACCCCGAAGACUACAAUUACAGUGCACUUAUUUGGAAGAUGCUUUGGUCCAAAGUGACUUGCAAUAAGUGUAUUGAUCCUAUUGGUGCAUGAUUAUAUACUACAAUAAAUAAAGUAUAAGAAAUGAA